RNAcentral lists this transfer RNA (72 nucleotides) under Lacticaseibacillus paracasei. RNAcentral describes it as "tRNA-Und (NNN) (tRNA-Und-NNN-1-1)". It matches the Rfam family "tRNA". Rfam says of the family: Transfer RNA (tRNA) molecules are approximately 80 nucleotides in length. Their secondary structure includes four short double-helical elements and three loops (D, anti-codon, and T loops). Further hydrogen bonds mediate the characteristic L-shaped molecular structure. tRNAs have two regions of fundamental functional importance: the anti-codon, which is responsible for specific mRNA codon recognition, and the 3' end, to which the tRNAs corresponding amino acid is attached (by aminoacyl-tRNA synthetases). tRNAs cope with the degeneracy of the genetic code in two manners: having more than one tRNA (with a specific anti-codon) for a particular amino acid; and 'wobble' base-pairing, i.e. permitting non-standard base-pairing at the 3rd anti-codon position. RNAcentral also lists the same sequence under 1 other name. Lineage: Bacteria; Bacillati; Bacillota; Bacilli; Lactobacillales; Lactobacillaceae. The record is from RNAcentral.
CCAUCGGUCGCUCAGGCUGGUAGAGCAGAUUCCUAACGGAAUUAGUCGCGGGUUCAAAUCCCGUCCGAUGGU